This 1118-nucleotide long non-coding RNA is filed under the name Marmota monax (woodchuck). Lineage: Eukaryota; Metazoa; Chordata; Mammalia; Rodentia; Sciuridae. The record is from RNAcentral.
CUUUUAUUACAAUAUGACCCAUGCCAUUGCUUGUUAAAUGAAGGUUUCAAAUGAUUUUUGUCUCGUAGUGCAAGUGAAAUGCAACAGGACAUCAGUAAUGGUUAUGGCCUCAAGGUGCAAAGUUCCAGACUCCCACAGGCAUGCUGAAUCCAGUCCAGACAAAGAAUGUGUGUGGGAGGACCUCCUGCUAAAAUAAUUAUGUACCAAUAUAUUCGUACAUCACUGGUGAGACUGAAAAUGGAUGAAACCAUUAUGGAAAGCAGUAUGGAGAUUCCUCAGAAAACUUGGAAUGGAACCACCAUUUGACCCAGCUAUCCUACUGCUCUGUUUAUACCCAAAGGACUUCAGCAUUCUACAGUGACACAGCCACAUCAAUUUGUAUAGCAGCUCAACUCACAUUAGCUAAACUAUGGAACCAAUGUGCCUUCAACAGAUGAAUGGAUAAAGAAAAUAUGGUAUAUAUACAAAAUGGAAUAUUACUUAGCCUUAAAGAAGAAUGAAAUGAUGACAUUUUCUGGUAAAUAGAUAGAGCUAAAGAAUAUCAUGCUAAGUGAAAUAAGCCAAUUCCCCCAAAUCAAAGGCUGAUGUUUUCUCUGAUAUGCAGAUGCCAAUUCACAAUAAGCAGGGGUGAUGAAGAAUAGAGUCAAUUUGGAUUAGGCAGAGGGGAGCAAAGUCAGGGGAGGGGGAUGGAGGGUAGGAAGGGUAAUAGAAUGAAUUGGACAUUAUGACCCUAUGCACAUAUAUGACUACAUGACUGGUGUGAUUCUACAUUAUGCACAACCAGAAGAAUGAGAAGUUAUACUCCAUUUAUGUAUGAUGUGUAAAAGUGCAUUCUACUGUCCUAUUUGACUAAUUAGAACAAAAAAAAAACAGAAAAAAUAUAUAAUUUUUAAACAGGAUUUCAAAUAGAGAUUUUGUCCUAAUUAUUAGUUCUGAAUUAUGGCUUAAUUUAACUCUUUUCUUUUCCAGCUAUAGAUAGACAGAGGCUUUCAAAAUUAUUUUAGACUCAAAAGAUCUCUGGGCUAUGCAUAUUAUUCUGAUACCUUUGAGUUAAAAAUUCUUCUAGCCUGCAGUAAGAUCAAUUUGCUGAGCUUUUUGAUAAAGAACUUAAAUCCAUC